AGCUCAUUUUAAGCGGAUUUUUUUUUAGCUUGAUGUCUUAAACGGAUCUCUCGUGAAGGAGUGAACAUGGCCGUUUGCAUCGAGGAAGAGCAGCGGGCAGGGAGACGCUUUUUAUGGACCAAAGAUGUAACAGGAGCUGAAACGGACAGAAGGCUCGCCGCUCAGGAUGGAGUCCGUGUUUUACGACAAAUGGAUCGAGAGGAUCAAAGAUGGCCCUGAAGCUCCUCUGCCAACGGCAGCAUUGAGCAAGUCUGUAAGAUCCUGACACCUGGCACACUUUCAGCGUAUGAAAUGGUGGAUGUUUAUUCCUAGAAAACAACAAGAGAUACGGCCUGACCACUCUCAAAUGACAGCAUUGGGUGCAGGGCAGCCGGGGGUCCCGGAGCUGAUGACAGUCCACCCCACACUGUGUCACCUCAGGUCAGCUCAGAGUGACCAGGUGAAGAACUGAAUUCAAAGUGGGACAUCGGCUAGAAAUGUACCUGGACACGUGAAGAACACGCCAACUCCACACAGACAGCGGGCAGACCGAGAAUCCCACCAGGGUUGCUAGAAAUGACAGACUGCGUUUUUAUUUGUCAUCUUGCCAAAAAGGAGAAACCUGUGCUAAAGGAGACCCCAGUUCAUCAAAGACCAACCACACUCCAUUUAGAAAAGCCAAAGAAGCCAAGAUGCAAUGUGAAGAAAGCCAUGUGGACACCCUGAGAGGCCAUCAGACUGGCAUUGAUUUGACCCUGGACCCCACCUGGAGGCGUG
This is a long non-coding RNA of Polypterus senegalus (gray bichir), 756 nucleotides long. RefSeq lists it as uncharacterized. The transcript has 4 exons. The record is from RefSeq and is a predicted model, not a curated record. NCBI's taxonomy places the organism in Eukaryota, Metazoa, Chordata, Cladistia, Polypteriformes, Polypteridae.